AGAGGACACGUGGCCAAACACGUAACUUAGAUUUACUUAGUAUGGAACUCGGGGAAAAAAAAAACUACACGAUUCAAUACCAGAGGGCAAGUUGUUUAUGAUGGAAAAGGGGAAAGAUUAUCAAGCUAUAUGGGAACAUUGGUGCGAUCUCAACACAAUGUACCCAUCCAAGUUCAAGAUUGGAAUCAUGUUAGUGAAAAUGUGAAAGAAAAGAUUUGGGCCUUAGUAUUGGAAAAAUAUGAAUUAGAAGAAACAUGUAAGAGCUACAUUCUUCAAUGUUGUGGAAAUUUGUUUAGAAGCUAUAGAAAUAAAAUGAAGGCCAAGUAUUAUAACCCUUAUAAUACAGAUGAGGAGAGAUUGUGCCAUCGACCUCCACACUUAUCGGAUGAUGAUUGGAGGUGGCUCAUCCACUUUUGGGGUACACCUGAGGCCAAGGCACAAAAGAAUGAGGAUUGAAGUGAGCCCAAUAGAAUUGAGAUGUUUGCCCUGACACACACAAGAAAAGAUGGGACGCCUGUUGAUGAUCAUUCUAAGGAGAUUAUGGAUCAAUUUCAACAAUUACUAUCCCAACCUGAGGGGACAUCUUCUUCUACUUCUGCAUCAUCUGGAGCAUCUACAUCUGUAUCAUCUACAUUUAUAGCAUCUACAUAUGUAGAUGAGAUAUAUACUCAAGUCAUGGGUCCAGA
Molecule: long non-coding RNA, 686 nt
Organism: Vitis vinifera (wine grape)
Lineage: Eukaryota; Viridiplantae; Streptophyta; Magnoliopsida; Vitales; Vitaceae
Exons: 4
Source: RefSeq, a predicted model, not a curated record